GUGAAGCCUGCGGUUCAAUUGGAGUCAACGCCAGAAAUCUUACCCGGAGAGACAGCAGAAUGAAGGUCAAGCUGAAGACUUUACCAGACAAGCUGAGAGGUGGUGCAUGGCCGUCGCCAGCUCGUGCCGUGAGAUGUCCUGUUAAGUCAGGUAACGAGCGAGAUCCCUGCCUCUAGUUGCCACCAUUACUCUCAGGAGUAGUGGGGCGAAUUAGCGGGACCGCCGCAGUUAAUGCGGAGGAAGGAAGGGGCCACGGCAGGUCAGUAUGCCCCGAAACUCUGGGGCCACACGCGGGCUGCAAUGGUAACGACAAUUGGUUUCGAAUCCGAAAGGAUGAGGUAAUCCUCAAACGUUACCACAGUUAUGACUGAGGGCUGCAACUCGCCCUCACGAAUAUGGAAUCCCUAGUAACUGCGUGUCAUUAUCGCGCGGUGAAUACGUCCCUGCUCCUUGUACACACCGCCCA
Molecule: ribosomal RNA, 466 nt
Filed under: uncultured marine group I thaumarchaeote
Lineage: Archaea; Thermoproteati; Nitrososphaerota
Description: bacterial SSU rRNA
Rfam family: Archaeal small subunit ribosomal RNA
Source: RNAcentral